UGUUAUAGGGAUCUGUAUCAGAAGGAAAAAAGCGACAUCAGAAGUUCAAAACAACACAAAUCUACAGCACCAUAGAACGGUGAGAGAUUCUCCUGCUGUAUGUUCUCAUUUGUCUCAGAUGGAGUCUUCUGAAGGGAUUUACAUGACCCUUGACCCCAAGACCAUGAGUGCUGAUUAUGACACACUGAAUAAUGUGAGGAAACCCAAUGAUAACAGACAACCUUGAAAGCACACAGCUCUGCCAUCAAAAACAGCUGGUGAGG
Paramisgurnus dabryanus is the source of this 263-nucleotide long non-coding RNA. RefSeq lists it as uncharacterized. The record is from RefSeq and is a predicted model, not a curated record. Lineage: Eukaryota; Metazoa; Chordata; Actinopteri; Cypriniformes; Cobitidae.